Molecule: long non-coding RNA, 423 nt
Organism: Boleophthalmus pectinirostris (great blue-spotted mudskipper)
Lineage: Eukaryota; Metazoa; Chordata; Actinopteri; Gobiiformes; Gobiidae
Exons: 4
Source: RefSeq, a predicted model, not a curated record
CAGGACUCUGUCCUUCUGCUGAGUGUCUCCAUCAGGACUCUGUCCUUCUGCUGAGUGUCUCCAUCAGGACCCUCUGUCUGCUGAGUGUCUCCAUCAGGAGCCCGACACGCUGAUCAGAAAAUCUACUGUGGUUAAUAAGAAGAUGGACAUAACAGCCUGAUAAAGACCCUCUGGAGAAUUCCCUCUGCUGGGCCAAGUUCCAAAAAUGUAGAGACAGACCCUGUAUUGUUUCUUUCAGAACCUGCUGUGGUGGAGUUUACAGACUGACCCUCUGUAAGUGCAUCUCUCCAAUCAAGUGUUCACCUUUCAUGUUCACAUCACACAGUCACUGUCAGGACUUACAAUGUUCUUCACAAACCUGAACUCCAACUCCUUACAAGAAUAAAGGUGUAAUGGGGUGUUUAAUACACACUGGUGUCAUUU